RNAcentral lists this ribosomal RNA (497 nucleotides) under uncultured bacterium. RNAcentral's name for it is "partial 16S ribosomal RNA". It matches the Rfam family "Bacterial small subunit ribosomal RNA", at positions 28 to 507 of the family's 1533-position model. The record is from RNAcentral.
GAUGAACGCUGGCGGCGUGCCUAAUACAUGCAAGUCGAGCGAACAGAUGAGGAGCUUGCUCCUCUGACGUUAGCGGCGGACGGGUGAGUAACACGUGGAUAACCUACCUAUAAGACUGGGAUAACUUCGGGAAACCGGAGCUAAUACCGGAUAAUAUAUUGAGCCGCAUGGUUCAAUAGUGAAAGACGGUUUUGCUGUCACUUAUAGAUGGAUCCGCGCCGCAUUAGCUAGUUGGUAAGGUAACGGCUUACCAAGGCAACGAUGCGUAGCCGACCUGAGAGGGUGAUCGGCCACACUGGAACUGAGACACGGUCCAGACUCCUACGGGAGGCAGCAGUAGGGAAUCUUCCGCAAUGGGCGAAAGCCUGACGGAGCAACGCCGCGUGAGUGAUGAAGGUCUUCGGAUCGUAAAACUCUGUUAUUAGGGAAGAACAAAUGUGUAAGUAACUAUGCACGUCUUGACGGUACCUAAUCAGAAAGCCACGACUAACUACGUG